AGUCGAGCGUUCUGAGGGAGCUUGCUCCAAAGAUUAGCGGCGGACGGGUGAGUAACACGUGGGCAACCUGCCUGUAAGACUGGGAUAACUUCGGGAAACCGGAGCUAAUACCGGAUAAUCCCUUUCCUCACAUGAGGAAAGGCUGAAAGACGGCGUCUAGCUGUCACUUACAGAUGGGCCCGCGGCGCAUUAGCUAGUUGGUGAGGUAACGGCUCACCAAGGCCACGAUGCGUAGCCGACCUGAGAGGGUGAUCGGCCACACUGGGACUGAGACACGGCCCAGACUCCUACGGGAGGCAGCAGUAGGGAAUCUUCCGCAAUGGACGAAAGUCUGACGGAGCAACGCCGCGUGAGUGAUGAAGGUUUUCGGAUCGUAAAACUCUGUUGUUAGGGAAGAACAAGUAUCGGAGUAACUGCCGGUACCUUGACGGUACCUAACCAGAAAGCCACGGCUAACUACGUGCCAGCAGCCGCGGUAAUACGUAGGUGGCAAGCGUUGUCCGGAUUAUGUGCGUAGAGCGCGCGCAGUGGUCCUCAGUCUGAUGUGAA
Molecule: ribosomal RNA, 549 nt
Filed under: Bacillus sp. (in: firmicutes)
Lineage: Bacteria; Bacillati; Bacillota; Bacilli; Caryophanales; Bacillaceae
Description: bacterial SSU rRNA
Rfam family: Bacterial small subunit ribosomal RNA
Source: RNAcentral